RNAcentral lists this long non-coding RNA (2264 nucleotides) under Homo sapiens (human). RNAcentral's name for it is "HSALNT0319033". Lineage: Eukaryota; Metazoa; Chordata; Mammalia; Primates; Hominidae. The record is from RNAcentral.
CUCAUUUUCUCUUGCUGCCGCAAUGUAAGAAGAGCCAUACGCCUCCCGCCAUGAUUCUGAGACCUCCACAGCGAUGUGGAACUAGUACUCAACAAAUAUUACCUUGAUUUGAAGAACAUGCUGCUUCUUGGAUUUACUUUUAUCUACAGAACAAACUGGACAAUGAUUUCCAUGUCAUAAAGCUUUCAAUGAUUUGGCUCCAAACUUUCUUUUCAAUAUCAUCAUCUAUAGCUUCUUUCAUCUACAUACCCUCUGAUUCCAUAACAGUGAACAUGGCAUAAACUUUCAAGAAAAUCUUGUGCCUUUGUCUACAUAAUCUCUUAACAUGGAAUUUCCGUUUUUUUCUGAUUAUUUUUCAUCUUUCAAGACUAAGCUGAAAUGCUCUACAUCUUGAAUGUUUUACAUUUUCUUCAGUGUGAGCUAUUUACUACUACUUUCACAUUUUUGCAACUCUAAUAUGUCAACAAAAUUCAUUCUAGUAUUUUGCAGUAAUAUUGUAGAUGCUUAAAAUAAAUGAUGAAUGAAUUCAUAACAGUCAAAGAUUUUCUAAAAGAUAUGGAAAUAAUUAUUCAUAUAAGUGUCAUAUCCUUUGACUUAAAAUUUUAAUAAAGGAUUAAAAUUUAUUUUUCUCAACACUGAAUUUCAGUAAUAUGUAUUAUCUCCUUUUUUUCAGCUUUUAUUUUGGAUACAGAGGGUACACGUGCGGGUUUGUUACAUGGGCAUAUUGUGUAACACAGGCUUGGAGUACAGAUGAUCCUGUCACCAAGGUAGUGAGCAUAGGCGGUUUUUCGGCCAACACCCCCUCCUCCCUCUAUCCUAUAAGGGUCCCAUAUUUACAUCAGUGUGUACCCAAUAUUUAUUUCCCACUUAUAAACGAGGACGUGGUAUUUAGUUUUCUGUUCCUGUGUUAAUUCACUUAGGACAAUGGCCUCCUGCUGCAUUCAUGUUGCUGCAAAGGACAUGAUUUUCUUCUUUUAUGGCUGUUUAGUAUCCCAUGAUGCGUAUAUGUACCACAUACUUUAUCCAAUACACCAUAAAUGGAUAUUAGGUUGAUUCCAUGUCUUUGCUCUGGUGAAUAUCACUGCAAUGAACAUAUGAGUUCAUGUGACUUUUUGGUAGAAUGAUUUAUUUUCCUUUGGGUAUAUACCCACUAAUUGGAUUGCUGGGUCUAAUGGUAAUUCUGUUUUAUUUAGAGGUCUUUGAAAAAUCUCCAAACUACUUUCCAUGGUUGCUGAACUAAUUUACAUUCCCACUAACAGUGUAUAAACAUUCCCUUUUUUUUCAAAGCCUUGCUAGCAUAUGUUAUUUAUUUUAUUUUAUUUAUUUUAUUUUUUGACUUUUUAAUGAUCUACAUUCUGACUGCUAUGAGUUGGCAUCUCAUCAUGGUUUUGAUUUGCAUUUCUCUGACGAUUAGUGAUGAUUAACAUUUUUUCAUUUGCUUGUUGGUCCCUUAAAUACCUUCUUUUGAGAAGUAUCUUUUUAUGCCCUUUGCUCAUUUUUUACUUGGAUUAUUUGUUUUCUUCUUUUUGAUUUGUGUAAGUUCCUCAUAGAUUCUGAAUGUUAGCUAUGAAGUUAUCAUCAUCCUGAUACCAAAAUCUGGCAGAGACAAAAAAAAAAAAAAGAAAGAAAAGAAAACUACAGGCCAAUAGAUAAACCUAGACACAAAACCCUCAAAAAAAUAAUAACAAGUUGAAUCCAGUAGCACAUCAAAAAGUAAGUUCACCACAAUCAAGUAAGCUUAUUCCUGGGAUGCAAGGUUGGUUCAAUAUAUGCAAAUCAGUACAUGUGAUUCACCACAUAAACAGAAUCAAAACCAAAAUCUGUAUGAUCAUCUCAACAGACACAGAUUAAGCUUUUGGUAAAACCCAGCUUACUUUCAUGAUCAAAAUCCUCAACAGACUAGGCAGCAAAGGAACAGACCUAAAAAUAUUAAGGGGCAACCAGGACAAAUGCACAGCAAAUAUCAUAUUGAUCAGGCAAACGCUAGAAGCAUUCUCCCUGAGAACUGGCACAAGACAAGGACACCCAUUUUCACUGCUCCUAUUCAACAUAGUCCUAGCCAGAGCAAUCAGGUAAGAGAAAAAUAAAAGGCUUGGGAGGCCAAGGCAGGCGGAUCACGAGGUCAGGAGAUCAAGACCAUCCUGGCUAACACAGUGAAACACGGUCUCUACCAAAACUACCAAAACUUAGCUAAGCAUGGUGGUGGGCGCCUGUAGUCCCAGCUACUUGGGAGGCUGAGGCAGGAGAAUGGCUUGAACCCGGGA